Leopardus geoffroyi (Geoffroy's cat) is the source of this 1310-nucleotide long non-coding RNA. RefSeq lists it as uncharacterized. The record is from RefSeq and is a predicted model, not a curated record. NCBI's taxonomy places the organism in Eukaryota, Metazoa, Chordata, Mammalia, Carnivora, Felidae. The transcript has 3 exons.
GUCAUUUUUAAUAUCUAGUUAAAUCUUUUGUUGAUAAAAUAAGUAAAGAGUUCAAUCUUUUGAAGCAAAAGGUUGGAUUCUAGGAGUUCUUCUUGACGUUUAACAUACAUCCCUCUGACAACAAUGAAUUUAAAACAGAAUGUGUGCACGUAACAAUUCAACUCUAAACGGGCUUUGCUAAUUGCCUGGAAAUAGCAGGAGCAAAAAGUUGAAAACAGUCUCAAAGUACACGAACGGCCUCUGGCCCUACACUGAAAAACUGAGAGAGUGAGAUCAAGAGAGAGAAACGAGCCCCUCAGCAAAAUUAAAAGUCGUAUAGUUCCUGUUUAGCGCCACUGGCAUGGUAGUUUCUGGAGCCGCAGUGCAAAUCACAGCUCAAAAAUGUUCAGCGGGGCCCCGGCUCGUGCCGCGAAAAGGCUUUCAAAAAAACAUUUAAGUUUAUCAACGGCCCUUCCAGGAGAAGUGUAGGGCAAAGUUACUGCAGAACCUUCCCAUCAAAGCUUCACAGAAAGAAGUCGAAAAUACAGGACGGAACCAAUACAACGAGGACUAUGCGGACAGAGAGAGAAAACCAGAAACCGUUGUUCACAAGCAAAACACAGUGCUAUUGUCAAGGCGGUGUUUGACCAUACACAAGCCCCACGUGGGUGUCGGGGUGACCCUGUGACUUCACAGGCAUUUCUGUCUGGACCAUCUUCCUAGGCUGCCCCACCUCCUGUCCUUCAGAAUACGGGGCAGUGGCAGCACUGGAAUGUCAAGCCUGUCUGAAGGGCAUCUGGUUCAGCCGUUUUGAGGUGGAGGGAGGGGAGGGAGAGACCCUCAGGGAAGGAGCAAAGAGGAAACCGCAUCAUCGAGAUGAGCACUUCCUGUUGGUGUGAACCUCUCUCUCUCCUCUUCCACCCAGAAGAUCCGAGAGGCCGCGGUGGGUCUGAGGCUGAUGUGCAGAUUCGCCCACUGGCCUCUUUCCCACUCCAGUGGAGCAAACAGUGUUGCAGAUGGGGAAGGCGGGCUUCGACAGCACCCAGUUAAGCUGAUGGUCACACUUGACACCCUGGGAUGAAGCAAAGCAGGCCACCUGGCAGGAACAUUACACCAACCUGCCAGCUGAACCCUGCAAAUCCACAGCUCCUUGAUUGGCUAAGCAGGGGCUUUGAACUAACUCCAUUAUUCAAAGUGAAGACACCCCUGGGGAGAGACAGCAGCAGCUGUACCAGAUAAAACUUCGUAUCAAUAAUUUAGCAGAGAGGAGAUUUUGAUAGGAUACAGGAAAAGGGAUCCAGAAAUGAAAUAAAUUGUGCAAGGCAACUGUU